GUAAAUAUAGUUUAACCAAAACAUUAGAUUGUGAAUCUAAUAUUAGAAGCCCAAUACUUCUUAUUUACC
RNAcentral lists this transfer RNA (69 nucleotides) under Lonchothrix emiliae (tuft-tailed spiny tree rat). RNAcentral describes it as "tRNA-His". It matches the Rfam family "tRNA". From Rfam's summary of the family: Transfer RNA (tRNA) molecules are approximately 80 nucleotides in length. Their secondary structure includes four short double-helical elements and three loops (D, anti-codon, and T loops). The record is from RNAcentral. Lineage: Eukaryota; Metazoa; Chordata; Mammalia; Rodentia; Echimyidae.